RNAcentral lists this long non-coding RNA (861 nucleotides) under Salvia miltiorrhiza (redroot sage). Its description in RNAcentral is "long non-coding RNA (SMIL_LNC012478)". The record is from RNAcentral. Lineage: Eukaryota; Viridiplantae; Streptophyta; Magnoliopsida; Lamiales; Lamiaceae.
CGAUUUUCAUCAACAUAUAUCACCAUAAAAUCAAAAUUCACAUAUUUCCAACAGUUGUAAGGAUAGCAAACCAAUAGUUUGAGAAGACAAUACAUCACAAAAUUUGACAAAAAAGAAUAAAUGACCGAGAUUAAUCAACCGGGGACCCUAAGUACUCGAGCUCGUCGUCGUCCACCGUCUUCUCUCCGACGGACUUGGCUGGGCAGCUCCAAAUCUGAAAUUCCGAUUUACAGAUCGUCGGAUUCGACAUCACGACAACCACCAGCAGCAUCUUCACUGCCGCUUGCAGCAGAUCCGCUUCCGACGACAGCGCCGUCGACAGCGUCGCUCUAGAGGUGGAGAUCGAGAUCGCAUUCAUCCACGGCAGGAGCGCCACACCGCAAUGUGCCUCAGCCGCCGCCCUCACCUCCUGCCACAGCCGUAGUACGACGAUUCGCCGUCGAAAGAGAAAAAAAGGGGGAAGAGAGAGUGUAGAGAGAGAGCGCUUUCUGCAGAGUGAGAGCUCUUCUCUCUCUCUCUCAAAAAUCAGACACGCCGCCCAACAUCUCUUUCUCUCUCCGUCUCCUCACGAGCUCCACCGCGUAUGGCCCCGGCGAGGCCGCGUCCGGCCGAGGGCGUCGCUCCACGCCCGCUCCUCUCUCUCAACCUCAGACGCCUCAUCGCCUAGAUUCUCCUUCUCCCUCUCAAUUCGCCCCCAAUUUAUCAAAUCGAAUCAAGCCCUAAUUUUCCUCUUAAAUCCGAAAUCGCUGCCGCUGCUGUAACUCCCGGCUUCGUCCUCUUCAUUCUCGAGUCGCCUCUCUCAAUCGAUUGGAGCAACGGAAUCAGCCCAGAGAGAGAGAGAGAAUAGAGCGAGAGAGUGAG